Scleropages formosus (Asian bonytongue) is the source of this 1614-nucleotide long non-coding RNA. RefSeq lists it as uncharacterized. The record is from RefSeq and is a predicted model, not a curated record. The transcript has 3 exons. NCBI's taxonomy places the organism in Eukaryota, Metazoa, Chordata, Actinopteri, Osteoglossiformes, Osteoglossidae.
ACGGAUUCAUCUGCGAACGGUGUCAAACGAGCGCAGCCACUGCGGGGAUCUGCUGUUCGCAUCCACUUCCGCCUACGCCAGUGCGCUGAAGACGGACGCGUGUGCAACCACUUGAGGGGUGUUGGAGCCAAAGACACGGCAAAGUAGAAGAAUGGAUUUUCCCCAAUACUGAAAAAUGUGGCAGCAGUAGGAGACAACAUCAAACUGUCAUGUGUCACAGGGCAAGAAGGCACCCUUCCAUACCCUCUUCUUCUUCCUUAAUUAUGCUCCUCAGAAUGACUUCCUGUCAGGCUCAGCGAGGGAUUCUUCUUCUUGACUCUGUAGAUGACCCCAAACCAUAAACCUCAGCUUUCAUUCUUCAGCCCUUUAGAUAUGUUCUGUGGCUUUGGAGGCUCUCCAGUGGACAGUGAAUGGGCAGACUUUCAGAGUGCAUUUCUUUUUUGGAGUGACUUCCAUGGACAUUCUUUCUAAAAUUAAUAAAAAGCUGCAUCUUUAUAACAGCUCACUUAAAGUAUUAGUCAUUAGAGUAGGACUAUUCAGAUGUCAGUCUUUGGCUGCUCUUUUUUUCGCUACAUGAAUGCUAUUAAAAAGAGACAUGGCUCACAUUUGUCUGUGAUUCAAAGUUUAAAUGAAAAAGUUUCACUGAACUACAGUGCGUUUUCCCACCAUGAAGACUCAACAAAGGGUAUAAAUGGCAUCAUCUUAAUAACUAGUAUAAUUUUAUUGCUCAGCAUUUCAUAUACUAAUGUGGAGCAGGACCACCAACAUGGUCAAUAUGGAAAUCAGAACAAAAUCAACUGGACCAAAUAACGUAGCCAUCAGUUUCCUGUUGAAAACCAUUUUCUCAUAUUAAUUGCCUUAACUUUACAUGCAUGCAGAAUAUUUCAAAUAAAAAAAAAGUCAUAGGAACGGAACAUGUGGCCUUAUUUUGCACGAUAACAAGAGCCAAGCCCGCAAGCAUCUGAACGCUAUGAAAACAAAAGCACUUGAGAAGUAGAUGUACCCUUUCAGUUAUUUCUGUGCCCUUCUUUCCUCUGUUUUGCCAUGCAGGUCGGUUACUUGGAAAGGAAUGCAUCUGAUACUGGCAACAAAAAUCCAGAUGCCCCGUCCCUCCUUCCACCAGUGCGGGGACAUGUCAUCCGUGACCCCUCCCCCAUGGGGACAAAAGGUCACUGACCACUACAGUGCGAGUGAUAACUGCAUUAGCCUUUCAAAACUCCCAAGAACCCAGGCAGUAAAUGCAAAAGUAGGUACAAUAUCUACUCCUGAACGUGUGGACCGUGUGAGUCCGGGCAUCGUGGAUCCUUCUUCUGGACAGCAAUGCAUCGAUCGUGUUGUUCUUCUGCUGGAAUUGAAAUGUUGAUUCUGAAAAAUAGGGCAAAAUCAACAUCAUGACCUCAACAGCAAAAUAUUCCAGAACUAAAUGCACUUUCCGUAGGAAUGCUAGGCCUGCAGGAACAGAAAGCGUGCCUGAGUAAUUUUAAUAAUGACUACCAGGUUCCUAGAUCCGCCGUUUUGGAAAACAUACGAUGUGAAAAUGUCAACAGAGUCAAAACGCUUUUUCUUAAAAAUCCAGCAAAUCUUUUCAUUUACUUAUUUUGCAGACUCUUUUCU